Molecule: non-coding RNA, 24 nt
Filed under: Arabidopsis thaliana (thale cress)
Lineage: Eukaryota; Viridiplantae; Streptophyta; Magnoliopsida; Brassicales; Brassicaceae
Source: RNAcentral
CACUUAGGAUUGUUAGACCAUCUC